GGGAGGGCGGCAUGCUAUACAUGCAAGUCGAACGAGCUUCCGUUGAAUGACGUGCUUGCACUGAUUUCAACAAUGAAGCGAGUGGCGAACUGGUGAGUAACACGUGGGAAAUCUGCCCAGAAGCAGGGGAUAACACUUGGAAACAGGUGCUAAUACCGUAUAACAACAAAAUCCGCAUGGAUUUUGUUUGAAAGGUGGCUUCGGCUAUCACUUCUGGAUGAUCCCGCGGCGUAUUAGUUAGUUGGUGAGGUAAAGGCCCACCAAGACGAUGAUACGUAGCCGACCUGAGAGGGUAAUCGGCCACAUUGGGACUGAGACACGGCCCAAACUCCUACGGGAGGCAGCAGUAGGGAAUCUUCCACAAUGGACGAAAGUCUGAUGGAGCAAUGCCGCGUGAGUGAAGAAGGGUUUCGGCUCGUAAAACUCUGUUGUUAAAGAAGAACACCUUUGAGAGUAACUGUUCAAGGGUUGACGGUAUUUAACCAGAAAGCCACGGCUAACUACGUGCCAGCAGCCGCGGUAAUACGUAGGUGGCAAGCGUUGUCCGGAUUUAUUGGGCGUAAAGCGAGCGCAGGCGGUUUUUUAAGUCUGAUGUGAAAGCCUUCGGCUUAACCGGAGAAGUGCAUCGGAAACUGGGAGACUUGAGUGCAGAAGAGGACAGUGGAACUCCAUGUGUAGCGGUGGAAUGCGUAGAUAUAUGGAAGAACACCAGUGGCGAAGGCGGCUGUCUAGUCUGUAACUGACGCUGAGGCUCGAAAGCAUGGGUAGCGAACAGGAUUAGAUACCCUGGUAGUCCAUGCCGUAAACGAUGAGUGCUAAGUGUUGGAGGGUUUCCGCCCUUCAGUGCUGCAGCUAACGCAUUAAGCACUCCGCCUGGGGAGUACGACCGCAAGGUUGAAACUCAAAGGAAUUGACGGGGGCCCGCACAAGCGGUGGAGCAUGUGGGUUUAAUUCGAAGCUACGCGAAGAACCUUACCAGGUCUUGACAUCUUCUGCCAAUCUUAGAGAUAAGACGUUCCCUUCGGGGACAGAAUGACAGGUGGUGCAUGGUUGUCGUCAGCUCG
RNAcentral lists this ribosomal RNA (1064 nucleotides) under Levilactobacillus brevis. RNAcentral's name for it is "bacterial SSU rRNA". It matches the Rfam family "Bacterial small subunit ribosomal RNA", at positions 33 to 1062 of the family's 1533-position model. The record is from RNAcentral. Lineage: Bacteria; Bacillati; Bacillota; Bacilli; Lactobacillales; Lactobacillaceae.